GCGACGGUAGCUUAGUGGUAGAGCCUCCACUUCGCAUGCGGGGAGACCUGGGUUCGAUUCCCGGCUGUUUCC
This 72-nucleotide transfer RNA is filed under the name Toxocara canis (dog roundworm). It matches the Rfam family "tRNA". Rfam says of the family: Transfer RNA (tRNA) molecules are approximately 80 nucleotides in length. Their secondary structure includes four short double-helical elements and three loops (D, anti-codon, and T loops). The record is from Rfam by way of RNAcentral. Lineage: Eukaryota; Metazoa; Nematoda; Chromadorea; Rhabditida; Toxocaridae.